GCCGGCAGCUAGCUCUCUGCAACUCUCACAUGGUCGCCCACUGAAGCUAAGCAGGGCUGCGCCUGGUCAGUACCUGGAUAGGAGACCACAUGGGAAAGCUAGGUUGCUGCCGGAA
This 115-nucleotide ribosomal RNA is filed under the name Danio rerio (zebrafish). Lineage: Eukaryota; Metazoa; Chordata; Actinopteri; Cypriniformes; Danionidae. The record is from RNAcentral.